AAAUAGAUCCUUCCUGAGAAGAUGAUCUAUCAGCUGCCUCAGUCUGCCAGCUCCAAAGAUACAACUUCCCCUCCCCCAUUCUGAGGGGGCCAGAAAAGAGAAGAGGUAGUUUCAGUAGUUCAGUUGCAGUUACAUUUCAAGUGGAAUAACUGACUUGAACAAUGCAUUGUUCUGAAAGAAGCAUUUACUCACUCAACACAAGCUCUGUGGUGUUUUGUCUUCAACCAACAGUAUCCGGAUUUUAAGCCCUUUACAUUCAUUCAAUUAAAUUGUCACUCCGGGGGAAAAACAAAACAACAACAACAAAAACAGAAACAAAAAGCACUCCUUUGUGCAGUGGUUGAAACUGCAGAGUUCUUCAGACCUGGGAAUUUAUA
Molecule: long non-coding RNA, 377 nt
Filed under: Anas platyrhynchos platyrhynchos (common mallard)
Lineage: Eukaryota; Metazoa; Chordata; Aves; Anseriformes; Anatidae
Description: lncRNA (ENSAPLG00000022943.1)
Source: RNAcentral